UACGUAGGGGGCAAGCGUUAUCCGGAUUUAUUGGGCGUAAAGGGAACGCAGGCGGUCUUUCAAGUCUGAUGUGAAAGCCUUCGGCUUAACCGGAGUAGUGCAUUGGAAACUGGGAGACUUGAGUGCAGAAGAGGAGAGUGGAACUCCAUGUGUAGCGGUGAAAUGCGUAGAUAUAUGGAAGAACACCAGUGGCGAAAGCGGCUCUCUGGUCUGUAACUGACGCUGAGGUUCGAAAGCGUGGGUAGCAAACAGG
Molecule: ribosomal RNA, 253 nt
Filed under: uncultured bacterium
Lineage: Bacteria
Description: partial 16S ribosomal RNA
Rfam family: Bacterial small subunit ribosomal RNA
Source: RNAcentral